This 253-nucleotide ribosomal RNA is filed under the name uncultured bacterium. Its description in RNAcentral is "partial 16S ribosomal RNA". It matches the Rfam family "Bacterial small subunit ribosomal RNA", at positions 524 to 776 of the family's 1533-position model. The record is from RNAcentral.
UACGUAGGGUGCGAGCGUUGUCCGGAAUUAUUGGGCGUAAAGCGCGUGUAGGCGGCUUUGCAAGUCGGGUGUGAAAGCCCUCAGCUCAACUGAGGAAGUGCGCCCGAAACUGCAGAGCUUGAGUACCGGAGAGGAUGGCGGAAUUCCCCAAGUAGAGGUGAAAUUCGUAGAUAUGGGGAGGAACACCGGUGGCGAAGGCGGCCAUCUGGACGGAUACGGACGCUGAGACGCGAAAGCGUGGGGAGCAAACAGG